RNAcentral lists this transfer RNA (72 nucleotides) under Fusarium graminearum PH-1. Its description in RNAcentral is "tRNA-Sup (TCA) (tRNA-Sup-TCA-1-1)". It matches the Rfam family "tRNA". Rfam says of the family: Transfer RNA (tRNA) molecules are approximately 80 nucleotides in length. Their secondary structure includes four short double-helical elements and three loops (D, anti-codon, and T loops). Further hydrogen bonds mediate the characteristic L-shaped molecular structure. tRNAs have two regions of fundamental functional importance: the anti-codon, which is responsible for specific mRNA codon recognition, and the 3' end, to which the tRNAs corresponding amino acid is attached (by aminoacyl-tRNA synthetases). tRNAs cope with the degeneracy of the genetic code in two manners: having more than one tRNA (with a specific anti-codon) for a particular amino acid; and 'wobble' base-pairing, i.e. permitting non-standard base-pairing at the 3rd anti-codon position. The record is from RNAcentral. Lineage: Eukaryota; Fungi; Ascomycota; Sordariomycetes; Hypocreales; Nectriaceae.
GGCCUGGUGGCUCAGCGGUAGAGCGUUUCCUUUCAGUGGAAAAGGUCCUCGGUUCGAAUCCGAGCGAGGCCA